AUUGAACGCUGGCGGCAGGCUUAACACAUGCAAGUCGAGCGGGGUGAUGGUGCUUGCACUAUCACUUAGCGGCGGACGGGUGAGUAAUGCUUAGGAAUCUGCCUAUUAGUGGGGGACAACAUCUCGAAAGGGAUGCUAAUACCGCAUACGUCCUACGGGAGAAAGCAGGGGAUCACUUGUGACCUUGCGCUAAUAGAUGAGCCUAAGUCGGAUUAGCUAGUUGGUGGGGUAAAGGCCUACCAAGGCGACGAUCUGUAGCGGGUCUGAGGGGAUGAUCCGCCACACUGGGACUGGGACACGGCCCAGACUCCUACGGGAGGCAGCAGUGGGGAAUAUUGGACAAUGGGGGGAACCCUGAUCCAGCCAUGCCGCGUGUGUGAAGAAGGCCUUAUGGUUGUAAAGCACUUUAAGCGAGGAGGAGGCUCUUUUGGUUAAUACCCAAGAUGAGUGGACGUUACUCGCAGAAUAAGCACCGGCUAACUCUGUGCCAGCAGCCGCCGCGG
Molecule: ribosomal RNA, 503 nt
Filed under: uncultured bacterium
Lineage: Bacteria
Description: partial 16S ribosomal RNA
Rfam family: Bacterial small subunit ribosomal RNA
Source: RNAcentral